Molecule: ribosomal RNA, 338 nt
Filed under: uncultured soil bacterium
Lineage: Bacteria
Description: bacterial SSU rRNA
Rfam family: Bacterial small subunit ribosomal RNA
Source: RNAcentral
AGAUUGAACGCUGGCGGCAGGCCUAACACAUGCAAGUCGAGCGGUAGAGAGGUGCUUGCACCUCUUGAGAGCGGCGGACGGGUGAGUAAUGCCUAGGAAUCUGCCUAGUGGUGGGGGAUAACGUUCGGAAACGGACGCUAAUACCGCAUACGUCCUACGGGAGAAAGCGGGGGACCUUCGGGCCUCGCGCCAUUAGAUGAGCCUAGGUCGGAUUAGCUAGUUGGUGAGGUAAUGGCUCACCAAGGCGACGAUCCGUAACUGGUCUGAGAGGAUGAUCAGUCACACUGGAACUGAGACACGGUCCAGACUCCGUACGGGAGCAGCAGGUGGGGGAAUAG